GGGGCUAUAGCUCAGCUGGGAGAGCGCUUGCAUGGCAUGCAAGAGGUCGUCGGUUCGAUCCCGUCUAGCUCCA
This 73-nucleotide transfer RNA is filed under the name Gammaproteobacteria bacterium. Its description in RNAcentral is "tRNA-Ala". It matches the Rfam family "tRNA". Rfam says of the family: Transfer RNA (tRNA) molecules are approximately 80 nucleotides in length. Their secondary structure includes four short double-helical elements and three loops (D, anti-codon, and T loops). The record is from RNAcentral. Lineage: Bacteria; Pseudomonadati; Pseudomonadota; Gammaproteobacteria.